UGUUAAAUAUUUUAUCUAUUUUUAUUGUUAAAAAUUGAGAUGGUUGAUGAAAUAAUAAAACAUCUAUAGAAACCUCACACUCAUGUACAAGAUCAAUUUUUAACAGUAAAAAUUGAUGGAACUUUAACA
RNAcentral lists this microRNA precursor (129 nucleotides) under Gossypium hirsutum (cotton). Its description in RNAcentral is "MIR7502 microRNA precursor family". It matches the Rfam family "MIR7502 microRNA precursor family". The record is from Rfam by way of RNAcentral. Lineage: Eukaryota; Viridiplantae; Streptophyta; Magnoliopsida; Malvales; Malvaceae.